This 1409-nucleotide unclassified non-coding RNA is filed under the name Hevea brasiliensis (rubber tree). The record is from RNAcentral. Lineage: Eukaryota; Viridiplantae; Streptophyta; Magnoliopsida; Malpighiales; Euphorbiaceae.
UUUCAUGGCAUUGAGAAGGUCGGUGAUAUAGUACAUGUUCUCCAAACAACAAGACAUAAUGGAUUUCCUGUAAUUGAUGAGCCCCCACUUUCUGAGUCUCCAGUUCUUUAUGGACUAAUCCUUCGUGCUCAUCUUAUCGAAUUGCUAAAGAAGAAAGUUUUUUCGUCCACUCCGGUGCCAAUAGGCCCUGAUGCCUUUGAGCAAUUCUUAGCCAGCGACUUUGCAAAGAGGGGCUCAGGCAAUGGUGGCAAGAUAGAAGAUAUAGAAAUUAGUGAAGAAGAGAUGGAGAUGUUCUUAGAUUUGCAUCCUUUCACUAAUACUUCGCCUUAUACCGUUGUGGAGACUAUGUCACUAGCUAAAGCUCGCGUACUAUUCCGAGAAGUUGGUUUGAGGCACCUGCUCGUGAUACCCAAGGUUACUAGUAGAUCUCCUGUUGUGGGCAUAUUGACAAGACAUGACUUCAUGCCAGAACAUAUACUGGGUUUGCACCCUUUCCUAGUUAGGAGCAGGUGGAAAAGAUUAAGAAUCCGGCUGCCCCAAUUAUUUAAAAUUUUCUAGGAGUCUUGCAUAUGCUGCUGAUUAGGUGCAGGUGGAAAAGAAUUUGGCUGCCUUAUUGACUGAGAUACACUACAAGAUUUUCAGUAAAUAAGGCAGCCAAAUUCUUUUCCACCUGCACCUAAUCAGCAGCAUAUGCAAGACUCCUAGAAAAUUUUAAAUAAUUGGGGCAGCCGGAUUCUUAAUCUUUUCCACCUGCUCCUAACUAGGAAAGGGUGCAAACCCAGUAUAUGUUCUGGCAUGAAGUCAUGUCUUGUCAAUAUGCCCACAACAGGAGAUCUACUAGUAACCUUGGGUAUCACGAGCAGGUGCCUCAAACCAACUUCUCGGAAUAGUACGCGAGCUUUAGCUAGUGACAUAGUCUCCACAACGGUAUAAGGCGAAGUAUUAGUGAAAGGAUGCAAAUCUAAGAACAUCUCCAUCUCUUCUUCACUAAUUUCUAUAUCUUCUAUCUUGCCACCAUUGCCUGAGCCCCUCUUUGCAAAGUCGCUGGCUAAGAAUUGCUCAAAGGCAUCAGGGCCUAUUGGCACCGGAGUGGACGAAAAAACUUUCUUCUUUAGCAAUUCGAUAAGAUGAGCACGAAGGAUUAGUCCAUAAAGAACUGGAGACUCAGAAAGUGGGGGCUCAUCAAUUACAGGAAAUCCAUUAUGUCUUGUUGUUUGGAGAACAUGUACUAUAUCACCGACCUUCUCAAUGCCAUGAAACAGCUGCAGUGGACCUGUGACUACAUCGGUAACUGUCAGCUGCCUCAUGUAAGGCUCUGCAUGAGUUUCUAAAUAAGGAAAACCCUUCGCCUUCAUAAUAAGGUCAUAAAUGUUACCAUUAAAAGCAUCAGCCACGGUCUUAGAAACAAG